GACGAACGCUGGCGGCGUGCUUAACACAUGCCAGUCGUACGGUAAGGCCCUUUCGGGGGUACACGAGUGGCGAACGGGUGAGUAACACGUGAGUAACCUGCCCACAACUUUGGGAUAACGCUAGGAAACUGGUGCUAAUACUGGAUAUGUGCUCCUGCUGCAUGGUGGGGGUUGGAAAGCUCCGGCGGUUGUGGAUGGACUCGCGGCCUAUCAGCUUGUUGGUGGGGUAGUGGCCUACCAAGGCGGCGACGGGUAGCCGGCCUGAGAGGGUGACCGGCCACAUUGGGACUGAGAUACGGCCCAGACUCCUACGGGAGGUAGCAGUGGGGAAUAUUGCACAAUGGGCGCAAGCCGGAUGCAGCAACGCCGCGUGCGGGAUGACGGCCUUCGGGUUGUAAACCGCUUUCAGCAGGGACGAAGCUUUUUGUGACGGUACCUGCAGAAGAAGCACCGGCUAACUACGUG
Molecule: ribosomal RNA, 465 nt
Filed under: uncultured bacterium
Lineage: Bacteria
Description: partial 16S ribosomal RNA
Rfam family: Bacterial small subunit ribosomal RNA
Source: RNAcentral